CCUGACUGCUAUCGGGGUGGGUAGCCAUGCGAGUCUGCGUCACGGGCAACGUGACGCGGCGCACGGCUCAGUAAAACAUGCUCAAACUGCCCUACAGACCGGGAUAACCUCUGGAAACGGAGGAUAAUCCCGGAUAGGUAAGAACUCUUGGAAUAGGUUCUUACCGAAAGGGUGCGGUGCUGAUGCCGCAUCGCACCGCUGUAGGAUGUGAGCAUGGCCUAUCAGGUUGAUGGUGAGGUAACGGCUCAUCAUGCCUAAGACGGGUACGGGCCGUGAUAGCGGGAGCCCGGAGAUGGGUUCUGAGACAAGAACCCAGGCCCUACGGGGCGCAGCAGGCGCGAAACUUCUGCAAUGCGCGAAAGCGCGACAGAGUCACCCCGAGUGCCAUCCGCUGAGGAUGGCUUUUGCCCUGUGUAAAAAGCAGGGCGAAUAAGCGGGGGGCAAGUUCUGGUGUCAGCCGCCGCGGUAAUACCAGCCCCGCGAGUGGUCAGGACGAUUAUUAAGCCUAAAGCGUCCGUAGCCGGCCUUGUAAGUUCUCCCUUAAAUGGUAUGGCUCAACCAUACCGUUGGGGAGAAUACUGCAAGGCUAGGGGGCGGGAGAGGCGGGUGGUAGUUGAGGGGUAGUGGCAAAAUACGAUAAUCCCUCAAGGACCACCAGUGGCGGAGGCGACCCGCUAGAACGCGCCCGACGGUGAGGGACGAAAGCUGGGGGAGCAAAAGGGAUUAGAUACCCCUGUAGUCCCGGCUGUAAACGAUGCGGGCUAGGUGUCGCGUGGGCUUUUGA
This 784-nucleotide ribosomal RNA is filed under the name uncultured archaeon. RNAcentral's name for it is "bacterial SSU rRNA". It matches the Rfam family "Archaeal small subunit ribosomal RNA", at positions 21 to 788 of the family's 1478-position model. The record is from RNAcentral.